This 464-nucleotide ribosomal RNA is filed under the name uncultured bacterium. RNAcentral's name for it is "partial 16S ribosomal RNA". It matches the Rfam family "Bacterial small subunit ribosomal RNA", at positions 28 to 507 of the family's 1533-position model. The record is from RNAcentral.
GACGAACGCUGGCGGCGUGCUUAACACAUGCAAGUCGAACGGUAAGGCCCCAGCUUGCUGGGGUACACGAGUGGCGAACGGGUGAGUAACACGUGGGUGACCUGCCCCGCACUUCGGGAUAAGCCUGGGAAACUGGGUCUAAUACCGGAUAGGACCGCACCGUGAGGGUGUGGUGGAAAGUUUUUCGGUGUGGGAUGGGCCCGCGGCCUAUCAGCUUGUUGGUGGGGUAAUGGCCUACCAAGGCGGCGACGGGUAGCCGGCCUGAGAGGGUGGACGGCCACAUUGGGACUGAGACACGGCCCAGACUCCUACGGGAGGCAGCAGUGGGGAAUAUUGCACAAUGGGCGGAAGCCUGAUGCAGCGACGCCGCGUGGGGGAUGACGGCCUUCGGGUUGUAAACCCCUUUCACCAUCGACGAAGGUUUUCUGACGGUAGAUGGAGAAGAAGCACCGGCUAACUACGUG